AAACUGGUUGAAACAAAUUAAGCUAGACUGGGCUGCAGUUUAUAGUUGUCGGUCAGAGUGUGAUAAGGUCAUUCGCAGUUUUAGUAAUGUUUUCAAAGAGGAGUUGGGUCUCAUCAGAAACACAAAGGCGACCCUACAUGUGGAUAAGGAGGCACAACCCAAGUUUUUCAAAGCUCGCCCGUUGCCCUACGCCUUGAAAGACAAAGUGGAGCACGAGUUGGAACGGCUAGUUAACGAUGGAGUAAUUGAACCUGUGCAGUUCUCAGAGUGGGCGGCGCCAAUAGUCCCGAUAGUUAAGGGAGACAAAUCCAUACGUAUUUGUGGGGACUACAAGAUGACUGUGAACCGCGUGUCUAGAGUGGACAGUUACCCGAUACCGAAGGUUGAGGAUUUAUUAGCAAAUUUGUCAGGAGAGGAAGACUUUUUCAAAAUUAGACCUGUCACAUGCUUAUUCACAACUACCACUGGAAGAGGAAUCAAAAAAAUAUGUAACGAUAAAUACACAUAAGGGGUUAUUCGUAUAUAAUCGCUUACCAUACGGAGUCUCCUCGGCGCCAGGAAUAUUCCAGAGAGUUAUGGAGAACUUACUGCAAGGUAUCCCUCACGUGGUGGUGUACUUGGAUGAUGUAUUAGUGACAGGGAAGACGGAAAGGGAACAUCUGAGUAACCUGACAGAAGUUUUGAGGCGUAUGGAUGACGCGGGGGUGAAACUGAAGUUAAAGAAGUGUGUGUUUCAGGCACCAGAAGUAACAUAUUUAGGACAUAAAAUUAAUGCGGAAGGGCUGCACCCGUCCGAGGACAAGGUUCAAGCUGUUAUAAAGGCACCCACACCAAGCAACAUCACUGAACUAAAGGCGUAUUUGGGGCUUGUUAAUUAUUAUGGCAGAUACAUUCCUAAUCUUUCCACAGUAUUUGCUCCCUUGUACAGAUUACUGCAACGGGACGUGGAAUGGCAAUGGGGACCAGAACAGCAGCGUGCCCUUGCCACAUCGAAACAACUGUUGGCGAGCUCCAAGGUGUUGGUGCAUUAUGACAGCAGCAAGCCCCUCCUGCUCACCUGUGACGCGUCACCAUACGGAUUGGGAGCAGUCCUUGCACACCGUUUGGAGUCUGGAGAGGAGAAACCGAUUGCUUUCGCAUCCCGAUCCCUGAGCAUAGCUGAACGCAAGUAUGCUCAGGUAGAGAAAGAAGGUUUGGCAAUAAUAUUUGGUGUUAAGAAAUUUCAUAAUUACUUGUAUGGCCGCCAUUUUGAGAUCAUUUCAGACCAUCAGCCACUUAAAAGUCUGUUUAAUGAAACUCGCCCAGUGCCUGUGAUGGCAUCAAGUCGUAUCCAACGCUGGGCGCUAACACUAUCGGCGUAUGAAUACACUAUCACCCACAAACCAGGGAAAAAUAUAGUACAUGCUGAUGGGUUGAGUCGCCUUCCUCUCCUGAAUUCCCCAAGGUGACUCCAGUCCCCGGUGAUGUGGUAUGCGUGUUGGAGAGACUAGACCAGACACCCGUCACGUCGAGAGAGUUAAGGCAAUGGACGGAUAAGGACUCAACACUCUCGAAGGUAAGAGAUCACAUUCUGUACGGUUGGCCUGGACAUAUAGCAGAGGAAACACUUCAGCCUUUUUUUAGAAGGAGGCACGAAUUAAGUGUCCAAGAUGGAAUAAUUUUGUGGGGAUCAAGAGUGGUGGUGCCUCAGAUAGCUAGAAAAAAUGUGUUGGCUGAGCUACAUGCAACGCAUCCAGGAGUCUCGCGCAUGAAAGGUAUUGCGCGUAGUCAUGUGUGGUGGCCCAAUAUAGAUAAAGAUGUUGAGUCAACAGUACAACUAUGUUCACAGUGCCAACAAGUGAGAAAUCUUCCCCCAGACGCUCCUUUGCAGCCAUGGGAGUGGCCACUAAAACCCUGGUCCAGGUUACAUUUGGAUUACGCUGGGCCGUUUAUGGGUGCAGUUGCUAGAUGGGAGGACUGUACGACGUCAUCUCGACUAUGUGAGGAGAAGAGUAAGCAUAGAGGGCGAGACGGUUAACGCAGAUGAUGCCAUACCACCUCCCAUGGACCUCACAAAUGGAGCAGGAAUUCAGAAACAUGGUUCGGCACCGGCAGGCAGCGUGUCGCCCCUAAAGGCAGGAGUUUCGAAGCAGUCCGGAGCACACAA
This is a long non-coding RNA of Scylla paramamosain (green mud crab), 2146 nucleotides long. RefSeq lists it as uncharacterized. The record is from RefSeq and is a predicted model, not a curated record. The transcript has 2 exons. NCBI's taxonomy places the organism in Eukaryota, Metazoa, Arthropoda, Malacostraca, Decapoda, Portunidae.